Molecule: long non-coding RNA, 327 nt
Filed under: Fukomys damarensis (Damara mole-rat)
Lineage: Eukaryota; Metazoa; Chordata; Mammalia; Rodentia; Bathyergidae
Description: lncRNA (ENSFDAG00000029561.1)
Source: RNAcentral
UACAUUGCAGCUUAGCUAAGAACUACUCUUAUUAUCUGUUUUCUUUCUUUUAUAGGGUGUUUUGCCAGGCCAUAAACAACAAGGGCCAGAGUGGAGCUAAUUUGAGGACUACUACCUGAAGAAAAGGCAAAGUUUCUGUGUAAGAAGCAGCGACAUGGUCACCAGCACCCCCGGAUUCCCACGCUCAUAGGACAGCGGCGGACUGGGAAUAAGGACGUUCCCUCCCAGCACCCAGCUACCAGCCCCAAGUCACCUGCCAGCCCCUGAGCCAAUCACACUGGUAAGGGAGAUGAAUGUUCUGAGGGGCCUGCUUGGUAUGUUCACCCU